Molecule: long non-coding RNA, 260 nt
Filed under: Cottoperca gobio
Lineage: Eukaryota; Metazoa; Chordata; Actinopteri; Perciformes; Bovichtidae
Description: lncRNA (ENSCGOG00000018141.1)
Source: RNAcentral
GACACCGCAGCCGGUCCAGAGACAGACGCCACCGCUCCAAAUCCCCCGGUCAUCACAGAAGCCACAGACAUCGCAGCCACUCAAAGUCCCCAGAGAGGAGUUCAAAAAAGAGUCACAAGAAGAGUCGAAGAGGAAACGAGUGAUGUUUCUUAUAUAUCUUCCCUUUUUAUUUUUUACCUCCAAACGGUCAUAGAACUUGCUUCUAAAUCUUGUACGAAAUUUGAGUUUUUUUAAUUUUAAGUUUACAAGUCAUUUCCAUU